GGCGUAAGCGCACGCAGGCGGUCUGUCAAGUCGGAUGUGAAAUCCCCGGGCUCAACCUGGGAACUGCAUUCGAAACUGGCAGGCUAGAGUCUUGUAGAGGGGGGUAGAAUUCCAGGUGUAGCGGUGAAAUGCGUAGAGAUCUGGAGGAAUACCGGUGGCGAAGGCGGCCCCCUGGACAAAGACUGACGCUCAGGUGCGAAAGCGUGGGGAGCAAACAGGAUUAGAUACCCUGGUAGUCCACGCCGUAAACGAUGUCGACUUGGAGGUUGUGCCCUUGAGGCGUGGCUUCCGGAGCUAACGCGUUAAGUCGACCGCCUGGGGAGUACGGCCGCAAGGUUAAAACUCAAAUGAAUUGACGGGGGCCCGCACAAGCGGUGGAGCAUGUGGUUUAAUUCGAUGCAACGCGAAGAACCUUACCUACUCUUGACAUCCAGAGAACUUACCAGAGAUGCAUUGGUGCCUUCGGGAACUCUGAGACAGGUGCUGCAUGGCUGUCGUCAGCUCGUGUUGUGAAAUGUUGGGUUAAGUCCCGCAACGAGCGCAACCCUUAUCCUUUGUUGCCAGCGGUCCGGCCGGGAACUCAAAGGAGACUGCCAGUGAUAAACUGGAGGAAGGUGGGGGAUGACGUCAAGUCAUCAUGGCCCUUACGAGUAGGGCUACACACGUGCUACAAUGGCGCAUACAAAGAGAAGCGACCUCGCGAGAGCAAGCGGACCUCAUAAAGUGCGUCGUAAUCCCGGAUUGGAGUCUGCAACUCGACU
This 761-nucleotide ribosomal RNA is filed under the name Enterobacter sp. I-3. RNAcentral's name for it is "bacterial SSU rRNA". It matches the Rfam family "Bacterial small subunit ribosomal RNA", at positions 557 to 1317 of the family's 1533-position model. The record is from RNAcentral. Lineage: Bacteria; Pseudomonadati; Pseudomonadota; Gammaproteobacteria; Enterobacterales; Enterobacteriaceae.